UAGGGAAUAUUAGUAAUGGGCGCAAGCCUGAACUAGCAACGCCGCGUGUGCGAAGAAGGCCUUCGGGUUGUAAAGCACUUUUCGAGAGGAUGAGGAAGGACGGUACUCUCAGAAUAAGUCUCGGCUAACUACGUGCCAGCAGCCGCGGUAACACGUAGGAGGCAAACGUUAUCCGGAUUUACUGGGCGUAAAGCGCGUGUAGGUGGUUUGGUAAGUAGGGCGUGAAAGCUCCUGGCUCAACUGGGAGAGGACGUUCUAAACUGCCAAGCUUGAGGAUGGUAGAGGGAGGUGGAAUUCCGGGUGUAGCGGUGGAAUGCGCAGAUAUCCGGAGGAACACCAGUGGCGAAGGCGGCCUCCUGGACCACUCCUGACACUCAGACGCAAAAGCUAGGGUAGCAAACGG
Molecule: ribosomal RNA, 403 nt
Filed under: uncultured bacterium
Lineage: Bacteria
Description: bacterial SSU rRNA
Rfam family: Bacterial small subunit ribosomal RNA
Source: RNAcentral